Molecule: long non-coding RNA, 4518 nt
Organism: Portunus trituberculatus (swimming crab)
Lineage: Eukaryota; Metazoa; Arthropoda; Malacostraca; Decapoda; Portunidae
Exons: 3
Source: RefSeq, a predicted model, not a curated record
AUAUAUAUAUAUAUAAUCGGGAAGAGUGUCCCAAACUUGAGGUGAAUAUUUCGUUUGUUCUGAGGUUUGAGCGAGUAGGAAAGCGUCCCUCGGGUACUGAGCUGCUGGGCUGCUGGGCUGCCAGGCUCACACACCGCACCACUCCUCCACACUCUGGGGAGACGUUGUAUUCAACAUUCUCUCUUUUAGCACAUUUUUCAUAAGUAAGAUCGCCAUUGUUGUCCACUAAUGCUGCGAGUGUGGUGAGCUGCCGCGCUUCACACGCCGCGCACACCACCGCUGGUGGAGAGCGCCUCGCAGCGUCCAGGGAGACGCGGCGCAGCUCACUUGAUCACUUAGAGACUUGAAUUUCUUUAUAUGGAAGUUAAUUAUGGUUAGAAUAAGCCAAAUAUUCACGUCUUGAAGUUUGACACACGUACGAUGGCUGGGACACGCGUGUGGUGCAUUGGGAAUGGCGGUAACUGGUCCACUCACGAGGCAGGAGCCAAUAUUUGGUGUCCCAGUUUGUUGCAUUCCGCGACUCACUCAUUUCCAAAAUGAAGUUCGUGUUGAAAAUACAUAAUGUUAGAUUUUUUUAAGAUUAUAAAAUUUUAUGGUUUACAUAUCUAAAAUAUUUUCGGGUGCGUGGUGCCAGUAUUAGCGGGGCGGUCCGCGGGGCGGUGCGCGCGUGGUGCUGCGCUGCGGGCCGCUGUCCCUGGGUGGAAGGUUAGCAGGCUGAUGGUGCGUCUUGCCAUUUCUUUGGGUGAGUGAGGCUUUAACAAUACUGUAAAUACUACUAAGUGACGAGACACGUGUGCGUUAGACACGGGCCGCCACGUACAGUCCCAGAUGCCAAGAUUUAAUUACUCGGGUCGUAGCCGAGAGUUUUAGGCCUUAUUAAUAAUUACCUUUAUGGGAUCUAGGGUUACCUGUAUUCUACCUUUUGGAGUCACUGAUGCAAGACCAUACACCUACAGACGUGAUAAAUUCCAGUCUGCUUGUGUCACUCUGAGUGCAGUACAUAGUACACUACUUAGACCAUCAUCUGCUUACUAAAGCUUCUCCAUCACAGCUGCGGCGUUUCAUUUGUUCGAGUUAUGUUUUCGUAAAGUUUCCGAUACAUAUUUUUCUUCCAGAUAUUGAUAUAAAGUAGUAGUGUGGAAUGUGUGUGUUUUGGUGGCUACUGAUGUCUGGGUCUCGGUCGUGUUCCUCAAUGCCCUGUCAGGAAAAGGGCCUCCGUGGGUCACGUUCACUGCGGUAGUGAUUGGGCGCCGCGCACUGCCAGGUUCAGGUUCUGUGCUCGCUAUCACAAAGAAAUUUUCAUGGAUCUAAGCAAUACAUGAUCACUACCCGCGCCUAAAAUGCAUUUGCCUGUUGGGUUGCUAUGUGUGUUCAUACAUUUGUAUCAAAUAUGUUACGUGGUUGUUAAAUGCUUCGAGCCAACAUGGUGCUUCGACUUGUGUUGCGAACCAUAGUGUAGUUCAUCCCAGUUUACUGUCAAGUCUUACUGCUGUGGAGUGUCAUUUUUCAAUGCAUUUCGUGUGAAUACAAGCUUGGGUAACAGGAGGAAGUGUGUGGCAUUGAGGGAAUGGCAGAAACGCAGAUGUCAGUGUUUGCCAAUAAUUUCUUUACAUCCUUUUACUUGGAUGAACCAAAACCGUUGUGUGUGUGCGAGGAAGAGCAACUGAGUUACUUGCUGUUGAAGUGUUCUCUGCAUAUUUGCCGUGUGGUUGUUCAGCGUGUUGGUAGAAAUGUAACAAUUUCCGCCUAGUCGCUUUAGAUGCCAUUCUUAUGUACAGUUUCAGAUGCUUUCCAAAAUAUUAUCCUAGUUGAAGUAAAUUUAUGUAGUCUGUGUAGGGAAUCGAGUUAGUUGAAUAUAUUAGAAAAAAAACAACAACAUAUUAUUGCUAGAAAUGGUGGUGGUAGGUCUUGGCCGAAAAAAAAGUAAUAUUUUAUGAAUUAUGUAUAAAGAUAAAACUUGAAUCAAAUGAAUACUUGCGAUUGGAUUUAUGAAACUUUUAUUUUGUGUGCUUGUGCGUGUGUGUGUAUAAAAAUAGGAUAAGGUAGCAUGCCAGUCACUGUGUUCUCCAUGUUGUUUGCUCUGGCUGUACACUCCUUCCUAACAUCACACAGACAAGCCCGCACACCCGAUCCUCUUCCUGCACCCCUGUCCUCCCCAACACCCUCCCCUCACACUGGCUCCCUACAACAAACCAAUCCACCUUCAUCUGCUCCCUAAGCCUCACAUUUCGUAAACAUGUUGGUUUCCCAGAGUGAUUUUUUUUUUAUACAUAUCUACAAAAUUUGAUUCAGUCUUAAUCAUAAAAUUACAUUCUAGCUUUAUAAACAGUAAUAUAUAAGUAGAAAUUAGUGAAUUGUUUCAAGGGUGUUUAUUAUUAUUAUUAUAUAUUCGUAAUUUGAGAUAAUAUCUGGGUACAGUUCGAGGCGCCUUUCAAAUCCUCUCUUCUCUCUUGGACACUCAUCUUUGGGCAUGCCAAACCCACCUUGUAAGGACCCACAUGUUAUGAGAUGCUGCCGUUGGCUUUGACUGUAGUGUGUGCAAGUUGUGUAAUACAGUUUAAAGAGAAAUAAGAAAGCCUUAUCAACAGUGACAGCGGUGUGGCACUGAACCAAGAGUCCGUUCACACAUUCUCACCAGCAUGAUAGGGGCGUCUCAGUGUCUCACUCCAGAGAACUCAUUUUUUUCUCCCUUGUUCAAUAUAAACCAAAAAAAAUUCAAUAAAAAGACAAUUUCCUGGAGUCUGUCUGUACUUCUGUCAGUGUGGCAUUAGAUUGUCUCUUUAUAGCUUAGAAACUCCUGUGUCCCAUCCUGCCAGCCCCGCAAUCCUUUAUGAUAUAUUUUUGUAAUCCUCUGUCAAGGUAUCUGGCCGCCACCCCAUUGUAGGGCUGGCAGGAAGGCAGGUGGUGGCUGCUCUGGGGUCACCAGCGUGCUAACAGUUGCCAUGCUGAUUCUGUGGUUGUAUGAGGCGAAAGACUGUUAUUGGUAUGUGGACUCUGUUACAUGGACCAGGUAUAGCAACAGUUACCAUAUGAAAGCUGAUAACCAAGACAAGGACAGCUACUAACCUGCCGGUUGGGUUGUGUCCUUUACACGACUCCAAGUCAGUCACCAAGUUUUCAAUUACUAAUAUGUUUUAUAAGCCACCUCAGGCUAGUUUUUGUUGUCAGUUGAUACCUGUGAAGAAAUUGAUGGAUGAAACCAAUAAAAAAUUAAACAAUUCCGAUUAUAUCAUUUCCUAUGGCCAACUUUUCAAGAGAUAAGACACAGCGAUCCAGAGCCUGUAUGGAGAGAACUUUGCCAUGAAGCGUACCACAAAUGAGGAAAGCCAGGUUUGGUCAUUUAUGCAGAGGCUGUGGCUGAGGGAGGAACUUUGGCACCAGCUGGCAAGAAGGUGGGAAUAUGACAAAUAUGACAGGAUCAGCGAGCGUCCUGUUUGAUGAAAACGGGACAGACAGGAUCAGGCAAGACUGGCUACAUGAAGAGGUAGUUAUAGGGAGUGUGUGCCAGGCAGUACCCUGACGGUCACAUUGCUCCUGAGUCCUCGUGUGGGUAAUAUAAGUUCGUAUGUAGGUGUGUAGUUCAUGUAGGAUUGAGAAUACAUAGAUUCAUGAAUGACUUAUUGCCAAUGGCUUAACCAGUGUGUAUUUCAAUCCCUCGUGGUUCGUUCACUGUAUCAUGAAACUUUAGUUCUGAGGUGAGACUGGCAGUUCUACACGCACCAGACAAGCGGCCUGUCCAGUGUCCUCUAACUCUCUCUCUUCCUUCUCGUCAUUGUUCAGUAGUGUGUGUGUAAUGUGUAGCUGCUGCCACCGCAUUCCGCCGCGCCUUGCCUACCUGAGUGACCUGAAAGACAACGGGCAGUGGUGAAUUGCAGCCACCACUAUCACAGCCACCACCAUCACCAAAAUCACCACUACCACGUCACACGCCGCCUGGCUUUUGGACGUUCGGCAACACACACAGCUUAAGAGACCUGCUGGAAGUGCAAGACAGAGACGGUUGAGAAUGGACUAUACUAAAACCUUCACAGCAUGAUUGGUUCAAGAUUUCUUUUUCGUGGAAGAAACUUAUGUGGGGAUUGAAAUAGUGAAGACUGUGGCUAUUGAUCUCCUGACCUCUAUAGAUCCGCCCUAAUGUGAAAAAAUCGUCUAAUCGUACACUAAUCUCAAGGUAAAAAUGUGUCCCAGUACUUUAGGGAUUAAUUUCACGUGCACAUUUAUCUAGCCACAAGAAAUAAAAGUUCAUGAAAUUUAGAGUAUACAAAAGUUACUUAUUAGAGAUCUUGCAUUGUGAAGAUUUGCUGAAAGUUCUUAUCUUGGCCUUUGUUUAUCAUUAUUAUUUAGUUCAGUCAGUGUUAGUCAGCAAGCAAUGUCAAGGAAUUUAUUAGUCAUUUAUUUGAUGGUAACAGUUCAAAAGCUGCUUAUCAAUCCCUCAUUGCUUGAGCCCUCUCUCCCAGCACACCUACACGCGCACACACACACACACACACGCGCGCGCGCUCACACACACACACACAC